This 468-nucleotide ribosomal RNA is filed under the name uncultured bacterium. RNAcentral describes it as "partial 16S ribosomal RNA". It matches the Rfam family "Bacterial small subunit ribosomal RNA", at positions 28 to 507 of the family's 1533-position model. The record is from RNAcentral.
GACGAACGCUGGCGGCGUGCUUAACACAUGCAAGUCGAACGGAAAGGCCCUGCUUUUGUGGGGUGCUCGAGUGGCGAACGGGUGAGUAACACGUGAGUAACCUGCCCUUGACUUUGGGAUAACUUCAGGAAACUGGGGCUAAUACCGGAUAGGAGCUCCUGCUGCAUGGUGGGGGUUGGAAAGUUUCGGCGGGUGGGGAUGGACUCGCGGCUUAUCAGCGUGUUGGUGGGGUAGUGGCUUACCAAGGCUGUGACGGGUAGCCGGCCUGAGAGGGUGACCGGCCACAUUGGGACUGAGAGACGCACCAGACUCCUACGGGAGGCAGUAGUGGGGAAUAUUGCACAAUGAGCGGAAGCCUGAUGCAGCAACGCCGCGUGCGGGAUGACGGCUUUCGGGUUGUAAACCGCUUUAGCCUGUGACGCAGCGUGAGUGACGGUAAUGGGUAAAGAAGCACCGGCUAACUACGUG